CCGUACACAAAAGCGCAUGUGCUGUGAGCUCGAUGAGUAGGGCGGGACACGUGGUAUCCUGUCUGAAUAUGGGGGGACCAUCCUCCAAGGCUAAAUACUCCUGACUGACCGAUAGUGAACCAGUACCGUGAGGGAAAGGCGAAAAGAACCCCGGCGAGGGGAGUGAAAAAGAACCUGAAACCGUGUACGUACAAGCAGUGGGAGCACAGGUUUACCUGUGUGACUGCGUACCUUUUGUAUAAUGGGUCAGCGACUUAUAUUCUGUAGCAAGGUUAACCGUAUAGGGGAGCCGGAGGGAAACCGAGUCUUAAUUGGGCGUUAAGUUGCAGGGUAUAGACCCGAAACCCGGUGAUCUAGCCAUGGGCAGGUUGAAGGUUGGGUAACACUAACUGGAGGACCGAACCGACUAAUGUUGAAAAAUUAGCGGAUGACCUGUGGCUGGGGGUGAAAGGCCAAUCAAACCGGGAGAUAGCUGGUUCUCCCCGAAAGCUAUUUAGGUAGCGCCUCGUGAAUUCAUCUCCGGGGGUAGAGCACUGUUUCGGCUAGGGGGCCAUCCCGGCUUACCAACCCGAUGCAAACUGCGAAUACCGGAGAAUGUUAUCACGGGAGACACACGGCGGGUGCUAACGUCCGUCGUGAAGAGGGAAACAACCCAGACCGCCAGCUAAGGUCCCAAAGUCAUGGUUAAGUGGGAAACGAUGUGGGAAGGCCCAGACAGCCAGGAUGUUGGCUUAGAAGCAGCCAUCAUUUAAAGAAAGCGUAAUAGCUCACUGGUCGAGUCGGCCUGCGCGGAAGAUGUAACGGGGCUAAACCAUGCACCGAAGCUGCGGCAGCGAACGUAUCACCCAAGACAACUUUACGGAGUUGACGAUUGACGGAGCGAAGCGACGUCAAAGCGUUCAUUAAAGUCGAGUUGGCUUAGGGAUACGUUCGUUGGGUAGGGGAGCGUUCUGUAAGCCUGUGAAGGUGUGUCGUGAGGCAUGCUGGAGGUAUCAGAAGUGCGAAUGCUGACAUAAGUAACGAUAAAGCGGGUGAAAAGCCCGCUCGCCGGAAGACCAAGGGUUCCUGUCCAACGUUAAUCGGGGCAGGGUGAGUCGACCCCUAAGGCGAGGCCGAAAGGCGUAGUCGAUGGGAAACGGGUUAAUAUUCCCGUACUUGGUGUUACUGCGAAGGGGGGACGGAGAAGGCUAUGUUGGCCGGGCGACGGUUGUCCCGGUUUAAGCGUGUAGGUGUGUGUUCCAGGUAAAUCCGGUUCACUUUAACACUGAGGCGUGACGACGAGGCACUACGGUGCUGAAGCAACAAAUGCCCUGCUUCCAGGAAAAGCCUCUAAGCAUCAGGUAACAUCAAAUCGUACCCCAAACCGACACAGGUGGUCAGGUAGAGAAUACCAAGGCGCUUGAGAGAACUCGGGUGAAGGAACUAGGCAAAAUGGUGCCGUAACUUCGGGAGAAGGCACGCUGACACGUAGGUGAAGUGAUUUACUCAUGGAGCUGAAGUCAGUCGAAGAUACCAGCUGGCUGCAACUGUUUAUUAAAAACACAGCACUGUGCAAACACGAAAGUGGACGUAUACGGUGUGACGCCUGCCCGGUGCCGGAAGGUUAAUUGAUGGGGUCAGCGCAAGCGAAGCUCCUGAUCGAAGCCCCGGUAAACGGCGGCCGUAACUAUAACGGUCCUAAGGUAGCGAAAUUCCUUGUCGGGUAAGUUCCGACCUGCACGAAUGGCGUAAUGAUGGCCAGGCUGUCUCCACCCGAGACUCAGUGAAAUUGAACUCGCUGUGAAGAUGCAGUGUACCCGCGGCAAGACGGAAAGACCCCGUGAACCUUUACUAUAGCUUGACACUGAACAUUGAGCCUUGAUGUGUAGGAUAGGUGGGAGGCUUUGAAGUGUGGACGCCAGUCUGCAUGGAGCCGACCUUGAAAUACCACCCUUUAAUGUUUGAUGUUCUAACGUGGACCCGUAAUCCGGGUUGCGGACAGUGUCUGGUGGGUAGUUUGACUGGGGCGGUCUCCUCCUAAAGAGUAACGGAGGAGCACGAAGGUUGGCUAAUCCUGGUCGGACAUCAGGAGGUUAGUGCAAUGGCAUAAGCCAGCUUGACUGCGAGCGUGACGGCGCGAGCAGGUGCGAAAGCAGGUCAUAGUGAUCCGGUGGUUCUGAAUGGAAGGGCCAUCGCUCAACGGAUAAAAGGUACUCCGGGGAUAACAGGCUGAUACCGCCCAAGAGUUCAUAUCGACGGCGGUGUUUGGCACCUCGAUGUCGGCUCAUCACAUCCUGGGGCUGAAGUAGGUCCCAAGGGUAUGGCUGUUCGCCAUUUAAAGUGGUACGCGAGCUGGGUUUAGAACGUCGUGAGACAGUUCGGUCCCUAUCUGCCGUGGGCGCUGGAGAACUGAGGGGGGCUGCUCCUAGUACGAGAGGACCGGAGUGGACGCAUCACUGGUGUUCGGGUUGUCAUGCCAAUGGCACUGCCCGGUAGCUAAAUGCGGAAGAGAUAAGUGCUGAAAGCAUCUAAGCACGAAACUUGCCCCGAGAUGAGUUCUCCCUGAGACUUAGAGUCUCCUGAAGGAACGUUGAAGA
Molecule: ribosomal RNA, 2576 nt
Filed under: Salmonella enterica subsp. enterica serovar Typhimurium
Lineage: Bacteria; Pseudomonadati; Pseudomonadota; Gammaproteobacteria; Enterobacterales; Enterobacteriaceae
Description: partial 23S ribosomal RNA
Rfam family: Bacterial large subunit ribosomal RNA
Source: RNAcentral